GGUUCUAUGGUGUAAUGGUUAGCACUUUGGACUCUGAAUCCAGCGAUCCAAGUUCAAAUCCCGGUAGGACCU
RNAcentral lists this transfer RNA (72 nucleotides) under Danionella translucida. It matches the Rfam family "tRNA". From Rfam's summary of the family: Transfer RNA (tRNA) molecules are approximately 80 nucleotides in length. Their secondary structure includes four short double-helical elements and three loops (D, anti-codon, and T loops). Further hydrogen bonds mediate the characteristic L-shaped molecular structure. tRNAs have two regions of fundamental functional importance: the anti-codon, which is responsible for specific mRNA codon recognition, and the 3' end, to which the tRNAs corresponding amino acid is attached (by aminoacyl-tRNA synthetases). tRNAs cope with the degeneracy of the genetic code in two manners: having more than one tRNA (with a specific anti-codon) for a particular amino acid; and 'wobble' base-pairing, i.e. permitting non-standard base-pairing at the 3rd anti-codon position. RNAcentral also lists the same sequence under 1 other name. Lineage: Eukaryota; Metazoa; Chordata; Actinopteri; Cypriniformes; Danionidae. The record is from Rfam by way of RNAcentral.